Molecule: long non-coding RNA, 1766 nt
Organism: Pan paniscus (pygmy chimpanzee)
Lineage: Eukaryota; Metazoa; Chordata; Mammalia; Primates; Hominidae
Source: Ensembl
UAUGCAAGAGUUUGAGGAAUUCACUACUCACACUUUCUUGAACAGUCUAUCCAAGUGCAUCAAGCAAAAUGUGAGUAAAGAAAUUUUGACCAAAGGAUUGAUAGUAAUGUUGAAUACGUUUAAUAGUAGAUCUAAGAUUAAAAGGUGAGAGUGAGGGUGAGAAGAGUGUAUGAAUGCUUUGUGUUCUGACAAAGAGAAUGUAGCACCCAUGUCCUACCUGCUCGGUUGCGUUGCCAUUGCCCACGGUAGGCUAUUUUAUCCCGGUUUUUAUGUUUUUUUGUUUUGUUUUGUUUUUUUCUUUUCAGGAGAGUUAGUCCAAGACCAAUAACUCCAUAACUGGUAGAAUUGGAAGACUUUAAUAGUGCUUAACAUUUUGUACAUAGCUUUAUAACAGUUUUCUUUUCUUUUUUUCUGAGAGAUUCUUUUCAAUAUACCCCAUCAUGGUUGAACUCAAAGUCAUUGCUUAUUUAAAAUCUACAACUGCUGACGUUUUGUAUCCUUCACAUUCCAGGCCUGUAAAUUACUCUCUGAUGACUCUGAACAAGUGCGCAGUGCUGCAGUCUAGUUUAUCUGGGUUGUCAGUCAGCUCUAUCCUGAAAGGUCAGUGUGGGUGAAAAAGAGGUGUUUUUUCCUCUUCAUUAAACUGCCAAAAUUUGAAAACCAGAAUGGAUUAAUAAACCUGUAGGAGUAGGCUCCAUUUGUAGUAGACUCCUUUUUAGGACUUAGACACAUACAAAGAAAAGGGCUAACUGGAAAUUGUCUCUUCUUUUAGGACUGGAUUGAUAAGUAAGUUUUAUAUUGAUUUAUUCUGAGAUUUAAUGUAUUUAUAGAAGUUCAGUCUGGACACGGUGGUGCCUGUAAUCCCAGCACUUUUGGAGGCCGAGGUGGGUGGAUCACCUCGGGUCAGGAGUUCAAGACCAGCCUGGCCAACAUGGUGAAACCUCAUCUCUACUGAAAAUACAAAAAUUAGCCGGGCAUGGUGGCACACGCCUGUAAUCCCAGCUACUAGGGAGGCUAAGGCAGGAGAAUCGCUUGAACCCGGGAAGUGGAGAUUGCAGUGAGCUGAGAUCGCACCACUGCACUCCAGCCUGGGUCACAGAGCAAGACACUUUCUCUACAAAAAAAAAAAAAAAGAAGAAGAAUUUCAGUUACAGAAGAUAAUAAACUUAAGGAUAUGAAAUAUUUGGUGGAAGCUAGUUUUGAUAAUUUCAUAAAUCUUUGAACCUUUGGUGGGUUACGUACUUUUUUUUUAAGGCAGGGUCUUGCUCUGUGGCCCAGGCUGCAGUGCAGUGAUGUGAUCUCGGCUUACUGCAACCUCCAACUCCUGGGUUGAAGCAAUUCUCAUGCCUGAGCCUCCCAAAUAGCCGGAAUUACAGUUGCGCCCCACCACACCCAGCUCAUUUUUUGUAUUUUUAGUAGAGAUGAGGUUUUGCCAUGUUGGGUAGGCUAGUCUUGAACCCCUGGCUUCAGGUAAUCUGCCCACCUCAGUAUCUCAGUGUGCUGGGAUUACACGCCUGGCUGAACCUUUGGUGGGUUACACACUUUUAUUCAAUACAUUGAAAAUUUGCACCUGAUUGCAGUGGCUCAGCCCUGUAAUCCUAGCACUUUGGGAGGCUGAGGCGGGCGGAUUGCUUGAUCUCAGGAGUUUGAGAUCAACCUGGGCAACAUGGUGAACCAUCUCUACUAAAAAUAUAAAAAAUUAGCUGGGUGUGGUGGCAUGCUUUUGUAGUCCCAGCUACUCAGAAGAGUGAACUGGGAGGAUCACC